UACAGAUACACUGGAAAGAGGGGCUUGGAGU
This 31-nucleotide non-coding RNA is filed under the name Macaca fascicularis (crab-eating macaque). The record is from RNAcentral. RNAcentral also lists the same sequence under 1 other name. Lineage: Eukaryota; Metazoa; Chordata; Mammalia; Primates; Cercopithecidae.